RNAcentral lists this non-coding RNA (640 nucleotides) under Drosophila persimilis. RNAcentral describes it as "Eukaryotic large subunit ribosomal RNA". It matches the Rfam family "Eukaryotic large subunit ribosomal RNA", at positions 1312 to 1840 of the family's 3401-position model. Lineage: Eukaryota; Metazoa; Arthropoda; Insecta; Diptera; Drosophilidae. The record is from Rfam by way of RNAcentral.
GCGGAGGAGUAUAGAGCUAAGGCCGACGUGGAGCCCGACUUCUGGUACUUUUUAUAGAGCCGGGAUUUAUUAUUUGUUAAGUAUGACAAAUACUUGGAGAACCAGGGAGGCUUGGACGAUACAGGUACAGUGAUAUCUGGAACAAAAGUAUUAAAAUUAGUUUACAGUUGCAGAUAGAAGAAGAAGUGUUUGGCGUAAGCCUUCAUGGAGCUGCCAUUGGCACAGAUCUUGGUGGUAGUAGCAAAUAAUCGAAUGAGACCUUGGAGGACUGAAGUGGAGAAGGGUUUCGUGUGAACAGUGGUUGAUCACGAGUUAGUCGGUCCUAAGUUCAAGGCGAAAGCCGAAAAUUUUCAAGUAAAAAACGAGGGGGAACGUUGUGAGUUGCUGCGGACACCGCAACUCUACAGUUAUACCCGAUACUAAGUCAGUAUGGCUCUCCUCCGGCAGACGCCGCUAAUAUUUAGCGACACGACAAAGAGUGCGUGCGAGAGAGACAGAAAAUCAGUCUGAGCGUGACGUCGGGCGCUGCGUAGCCACUGCAAAUUGAUUUGUUCCUUUUGGCUAUAAAAAUGAUCUGAUCUGAUCCAGAUUCAGUAAUCUGAUAGAUAUAGUCAUUCUCUAUGAUUCUGCGUUUUUAGUU